This 274-nucleotide ribosomal RNA is filed under the name uncultured bacterium. RNAcentral describes it as "partial 16S ribosomal RNA". It matches the Rfam family "Bacterial small subunit ribosomal RNA", at positions 523 to 796 of the family's 1533-position model. The record is from RNAcentral.
AUACGGAGGGUGCAAGCGUUAUUCGGAAUCACCGGGCGUAAAGGACGCGUAGGCGGGUUGGCAAGUCAGAUGUGAAAUCCUACAGCUUAACUGUAGAACUGCAUUUGAAACUGCUAACCUAGAGUAUGGGAGGGGGAGAUGGAAUUAGUGGUGUAGGGGUAAGAUCCGUAGAUAUCACUAGGAAUACCGAAAGCGAAGGCGAUCUCCUGGAACAUAACUGACGCUAAGGCGUGAAAGCGUGGGGAGCAAACAGGAUUAGAUACCCUAGUAGUCC